GGGAAGUGGCGCCAAUGAGUUCAAUCCCUACCGUUUUCUAUCAAUGGCUUGUAAUGGGACUGAUACAAGUCAGCGGACAUCACUUGCAGGUGAAAAUGCUGGGGAUCAAGGAGAGAGCUCAUUUGUUUUGAACGAGCCAACUGGCAAUGUCGGGUUUCUUCCCUUUGGCUUUGGUGCACGUUCCUGUGUUGGUCAGAAAUUUAUUAUACAGGGAUUAGCAACAUUAUUUGCUUCAUUGCUCGCAAACUACGAGAUAAAGCUUCAGUCAGAAUCUAAGACCGACUCAAAGUCGUCGUCGAACCACUCUGCAGCUCAAAUCCUUCCGAAUUCGAAGAUAGUCUUCGUAAGGAGGAACAGCUGAAGUACAGGUAGCUAAAAGCUCACACUCCCAUGUAAUGUGUGUAUUUCAGGUCAAUUUACUAGAUUUUAUCUAAAUCGUUUUUAUGGGGAAGUUCUGUAUCUUUUUCCCCGACUCAUCGGAGGUUGAAUGGGAGGUUGAGACA
RNAcentral lists this unclassified non-coding RNA (503 nucleotides) under Hevea brasiliensis (rubber tree). Lineage: Eukaryota; Viridiplantae; Streptophyta; Magnoliopsida; Malpighiales; Euphorbiaceae. The record is from RNAcentral.